UUUCAUUUUGGGUUAUAAUACGUAAAAGCCUUCGAAACUUAAAGAAAAUAAGGUGAAUAUACCUUGAGAUCCGCUAGAAAACCCCAGGAAAAAUAUGAAAAGGCUUGAACACUCACAAAAAAAGCAAAAAAAACAAAGAGGGGGUGAUGUUGGAUUCCACGAUGAAUCGUGAAAGCAGUAGAAACACAAAAAUAACAAAUAAAAUAUAAAUUAUAUACAUUUUCCAUAUCCGAUUCUUCACAUUGCUUGUUUAUAUGAGCCUUGCAUUUUCUGCCGCGUCUCCAUUGGUUUAAGAGUUUAAUGCUCACAUCCUUAAGCUUACUUUUGAUUGAAAGGUGGACAACAUGAUCUAACCAAG
This 358-nucleotide long non-coding RNA is filed under the name Amborella trichopoda. Its description in RNAcentral is "long non-coding RNA (ATRI_LNC000288)". The record is from RNAcentral. Lineage: Eukaryota; Viridiplantae; Streptophyta; Magnoliopsida; Amborellales; Amborellaceae.